AGAAACGCGGGGGCAGGAGCCGGGGUAAUACGGAGGAUCCGGGCGUUAUCCGUAAUUUUUGGGUUUAAAGGGGGCGUAGGAGGGGGUUUAAGUCAGCUGUGAAAUGCCGUGGGCCAACCAUGGAACUGCAGUUGAAACUGGACCUCUUGAGAGUACAUAAGGAAGGCGGAAUUCGUGGUGUAGCGGUGAAAUGCAUAGAGAUCACGAAGAACUCCGAUUGCGAAGGCAGCUUUCCGGGGUACAUCUGACGCUGAAGCUCGAAAGUGCGGGUAUCGAACAGGAUUAGAUACCCGAGUAGUC
RNAcentral lists this ribosomal RNA (300 nucleotides) under uncultured Helicobacter sp. RNAcentral's name for it is "bacterial SSU rRNA". It matches the Rfam family "Bacterial small subunit ribosomal RNA", at positions 496 to 795 of the family's 1533-position model. Lineage: Bacteria; Pseudomonadati; Campylobacterota; Epsilonproteobacteria; Campylobacterales; Helicobacteraceae. The record is from RNAcentral.